GUGGGGAAUUUUGGACAAUGGGCGCAAGCCUGAUCCAGCAAUGCCGCGUGCAGGAAGAAGGCCUUCGGGUUGUAAACUGCUUUUGUACGGAACGAAACGGUCCUGGUUAAUACCCGGGGCUAAUGACGGUACCGUAAGAAUAAGCACCGGCUAACUACGUGCCAGCAGCCGCGGUAAUACGUAGGGUGCAAGCGUUAAUCGGAAUUACUGGGCGUAAAGCGUGCGCAGGCGGUGCUGUAAGACAGGCGUGAAAUCCCCGGGCUUAACCUGGGAAUUGCGCUUGUGACUGCAGUGCUGGAGUGCGGCAGAGGGGGAUGGAAUUCCGCGUGUAGCAGUGAAAUGCGUAGAUAUGCGGAGGAACACCGAUGGCGAAGGCAAUCCCCUGGGCCUGCACUGACGCUCAUGCACGAAAGCGUGGGGAGCAAACAGGAUUAGAUACCCCGGUAGUCC
RNAcentral lists this ribosomal RNA (450 nucleotides) under uncultured bacterium. RNAcentral's name for it is "bacterial SSU rRNA". It matches the Rfam family "Bacterial small subunit ribosomal RNA", at positions 354 to 796 of the family's 1533-position model. The record is from RNAcentral.